RNAcentral lists this ribosomal RNA (464 nucleotides) under Granulicatella adiacens. Its description in RNAcentral is "bacterial SSU rRNA". It matches the Rfam family "Bacterial small subunit ribosomal RNA", at positions 28 to 473 of the family's 1533-position model. The record is from RNAcentral. Lineage: Bacteria; Bacillati; Bacillota; Bacilli; Lactobacillales; Carnobacteriaceae.
GACGAACGCUGGCGGCGUGCCUAAUACAUGCAAGUCGAACGAGAGCGACCGGUGCUUGCACUGGUCAAUCUAGUGGCGAACGGGUGAGUAACACGUGGGUAACCUGCCCAUCAGAGGGGGAUAACAUCCGGAAACGGAUGCUAAAACCGCAUAGGUCUUCGAGCCGCAUGGCUUGAAGAGGAAAAGAGGCGCAAGCUUCUGCUGAUGGAUGGACCCGCGGUGCAUUAGCUAGUUGGUGAGGUAACGGCUCACCAAGGCCGUGAUGCAUAGCCGACCUGAGAGGGUGAUCGGCCACAUUGGGACUGAGACACGGCCCAAACUCCUACGGGAGGCAGCAGUAGGGAAUCUUCCGCAAUGGACGCAAGUCUGACGGAGCAACGCCGCGUGAGUGAAGAAGGUUUUCGGAUCGUAAAACUCUGUUGUUAGAGAAGAACAAGUGCUAGAGUAACUGUUAGCGCCUAGAC